Long non-coding RNA from Raphanus sativus (radish), 817 nucleotides. RefSeq lists it as uncharacterized. Lineage: Eukaryota; Viridiplantae; Streptophyta; Magnoliopsida; Brassicales; Brassicaceae. The transcript is spliced from 3 exons. The record is from RefSeq and is a predicted model, not a curated record.
AGACGCAGCUCCUCCUAUCGACGCAGACUUGCUUGAACUUCUCCAUCUCUCUCGAUCUCUUUCUUCAUCUCUCGAUCUGAUCUCUCUCAAUCUCGAGCUCUCUCUCCAUCACGAGGCCUCUAUCCCAUCUCAAGCUCUCUCUCCAUCUCUCUCCGUCACGAGCUGUCUUUCCAUCUCUCUCCGUCACGAGCUCUCUAUCCAUCUCAAGCUCUCUCUCUAUCCAUCUCAAGCUCUCUCUCUCUCUCCAUCUCAAGCUCUAUAUCCGACACAAACCCAUCUCAAGCUCUCUCUCAUCUCCGACGCAAACCCAUUUGGAAGGGAGCAAGAUGACUAUGUGGUAGUAAGGAAGGUGGGGCGUGGGAAAUACUGUGAAGUGUUUGAGGGAUUUAACGUGAACACCAAGGAGAAGUGUAUCGUUAAGAUCCUCAAACCUGUUAAGAAAAAGAAGAUAAGAAGAGAGAUUAAAGAUACUUCAGAACUUGUGUGGUGGGCCAAACAUUGUGAAGCUGUUCGAUGAAGUUCCAAAACCUGGUUAAAGAUCAAAACGCAUACACGAUGAUGGAUGGGAUCUGAAGUUCUGACGUUACAUUUGGUGGCUUCAUUCGAGACUACUUGUUUGCAGGGAUAAUUCACUGAGGUGUUGAUGGCCAAAAGAACACUUGGAUAAGAUGAGAGAAGAUAUAGAGGAUGAGUAGACAAAAAAAAUGUAGAGAAUUUUGAUACUAUUGAAUACCACUAGUAUAACGUUUCAUUAUAUACCAUAAUUAAGUUUAUUUACUUAUUUAGCUACAUUAUUUUGGAAAAUAUGCACCAAACU